UGAAAUUUCCUUUCUCGUAAAUUUCUCUUUACUUCUCCCCGAAGUUGCCUAUUUCCAAGAAUAAGCUCUAGGCCAAAGUUACAUAUUCAAGACACCCCUGCUCUGCUGACAUGAUGUUAUUUCUUUUGUAUCACUCUUCCUCUGCCAGCCAUCUUGAAGUUUAAUGCAACCCCUCACCUCUCUCUUCUCGACUGGCAAGUCUGUCUCUUUCUCUUGUUUCGAAAUUGAAGACUGGAAGGCUUGUGUGAGCGUCCCUUUUUCUCUUUUAUUUUGUUCCUCUUGCGCUCCUCUUUUUCUGCCAGCUAACGUAGAGAACACACCUCUCACCUCUCUGAAAACACUAUAUAACACAAGGCAAUUCCAAGCAUAUUGUAUCUGACAGACCAGACACACAAAACAGAUCACAUCCACUUUCAAAACCCUUUUUCAACCAUGGAUAAUCUGACCUGACUCGAACUCUCUAACCCAGCUUCACCUCCUCCGGCUGUACCUCCUUGUAUUACUCCUGCUUUGGCUCCACAUCCAGAUACGCCUCCAGUUCAUAACCCCACCCCGUCUCCGGUUCCGUUGCCUCUACUACUACUACUCCAUAGGCCUUCAGAAUGGAGCGCUGAAAUGUUUCAGAAUUUAAAGAGAAACGAAACAGCCAGCGGAACCGGAGAUGGAGUGGGGUUAUGAACUGGAGCCCAAGCUGAAGCUAUUACUUGAGGUGGAUCUGGAUGCCCGGAGAAGGAGGUGAAGCUGGGUUAGAGAGUUCAGGUCAGGUCUGGAUGCAGGGCCAGAGCUGGAUCAGGCGAAGGAGGUGAAGCUGCGUUAGAGAGUUCAGGUCAGGUCGGCUUGGCUUAUACAUGGUUGAGAGAAGAGUUUUGAGAGUGAAUGUAAACUGUUUUUUUAUAUUUUUAUAUUAUUUAAAUAAUUUUUUAAAAAUAAAAAAAUAUUAUUUUAAUAUAUUUAUGUAAAAACAAACUUCACAUUCACAAUCAUUACUCUAGUACUUUCAGACAGACACUUUCAGACAGACGAGGGGUGUGUUCAAUUCAAGAUGCCUGGCAGAGAAACUGGGCACAGGACGACUUGCCAGUAGAGAAGAGAGAGAGAGAGAGAGGUAAGGGGCUACAUUAAAUUUCAAGAUCAUGUCGGCAGAGCAGGGGUGUGUUAAAGAUGUAACUUUGGCCUAGAGCUUAUUCUUGGAAAUAGCCAGUAAGCAACUUCGGGGAGAAGAGAGGAGAAAUUUACGAGAAAGGAAAUGACAUCUUGAUAUUUGAUAUCAUUGCUUUAUAACUUUUAAGAAUUAAAAUUACACGUGAAAAGAUCAAAUUUAUUCUUAGAA
Populus trichocarpa (black cottonwood) is the source of this 1330-nucleotide long non-coding RNA. RefSeq lists it as uncharacterized. The record is from RefSeq and is a predicted model, not a curated record. NCBI's taxonomy places the organism in Eukaryota, Viridiplantae, Streptophyta, Magnoliopsida, Malpighiales, Salicaceae. The transcript is spliced from 2 exons.